RNAcentral lists this long non-coding RNA (240 nucleotides) under Gallus gallus (chicken). The record is from RNAcentral. Lineage: Eukaryota; Metazoa; Chordata; Aves; Galliformes; Phasianidae.
CUGCUUUCAAUCUCUCAAUCUUUUCAUUUAACUCCUCCUGGAGAGCUUCCGCUUCCUGAGCCUCCUCUCGCAAGGUUUCUACCAUAGACUCCAGGCUCAUUCUUCUUGUCAGUUCCUCUUCCCAUUUUCUCUUGUACUCGUCCCUCUCCCUCUUGACUUUGGCCAACACGUUGUAGAGCGCCCGGAUCUCGGGGGUGAUGGUAUCGAUCUGCACCCCGACGCCAUCCGGGUGGAUCCAAG